Non-coding RNA from Pelobates cultripes (western spadefoot toad), 709 nucleotides. The record is from the annotation of a GenBank genome assembly. NCBI's taxonomy places the organism in Eukaryota, Metazoa, Chordata, Amphibia, Anura, Pelobatidae.
CCACUUAGUCACAAACACUGGCCAAAGUUAGCGUUCAUAUUUGUUUUUGUGUGAAAAAAGCAAAAAAACUAAUAUUUGGCCAGUGUUUGUGACUAAGUGGCUACUAAAAAUGACUGGACAUACCCCAUUUGCAAUAUCUUGGGUUGUCUACUUUUGCAAAUGGUAUGCCAUCAUGGGGGUAAUUCUUAUUCCUGGGCUACCAUACGCUCUCAAAGGCAACAUAACCAAUCUGGCAAAUUUCAAUGUCAAAAAAAUGAAAUGCAAGCCUUAUAUGUUACUCUCUAACUUUCCAAAACACAAUAAAACCCGUACAUGGGGGUACUGUUCUUCACGGGAGACUUCACUAAACACAAAUAUUAGUGUUUUAAAUCAGUAAAACAUAUUACAACAAUAAUAUAGUCCAUAAAAGUGCCAUUCAUUUGUAAAAAAUGCAAAAAAUGUCACUUUUACUUAAAAUAUCAUCGUUGUAAUACAAUUUACCAGUUUGAAACACUAAUACUUGAGUUCAGCAAAGUCUCCCGAGUAAAACAGUACCCCCCAUGUACAGGUUUUAUGGUGUCUUGGAGAGUUACAGGGUCAAAUAUAGCGCUUGCGAAUUAAAUUCUCUGCACUUUCUCGCUGUGUUGUCAGGCAUGUCAAUCAAAUUUUAAUUAAUCAAAUCACAUCAUUAUGGUAAAAGAUUACUUAAAUAUACACGUAGAAUUUUAAC